Non-coding RNA from Cyanistes caeruleus (blue tit), 211 nucleotides. The record is from RefSeq and is a predicted model, not a curated record. Lineage: Eukaryota; Metazoa; Chordata; Aves; Passeriformes; Paridae.
UGCCACCACAGGCAUGCAGAAAGCAUGCAAGAGAUGCAGGACAGCAAAUAUUGGUGACAGAGAUCACCUGUGAAGUGCCACCAGAUGGCAAAAUACCCAUCAGCCACACUCCCAAGCCUGCUUGUCAGCAUCACAGGAUUGAGAUGAGGCUGCAAGAGAGUGAUGCUCAAAAGAUAGGCUGGAAAUAAAUCCCCACAGACCUGUGCCUAUA